UAAGACAGAGGGUGCAAACGUUGUUCGGAAUUACUGGGCGUAAAGCGAGUGUAGGCGGUUUGGUAAGUCGGAUGUGAAAGCCCCGGGCUCAACCCGGGAAGUGCACUCGAUACUGCCAAGCUAGAGUAUCGGAGAGGUUGGUGGAAUUCUCGGUGUAGAGGUGAAAUUCGUAGAUAUCGAGAGGAACACCGGUGGCGAAGGCGGCCAACUGGACGAAUACUGACGCGGAGACUCGA
RNAcentral lists this ribosomal RNA (236 nucleotides) under uncultured bacterium. Its description in RNAcentral is "partial 16S ribosomal RNA". It matches the Rfam family "Bacterial small subunit ribosomal RNA", at positions 521 to 756 of the family's 1533-position model. The record is from RNAcentral.